Molecule: long non-coding RNA, 390 nt
Organism: Oncorhynchus tshawytscha (Chinook salmon)
Lineage: Eukaryota; Metazoa; Chordata; Actinopteri; Salmoniformes; Salmonidae
Source: Ensembl
GGGCUGACUAGCUGAGGCUAUACUGUACUAGGGGCUGACUAGCUGAGACUAUACUGUACUAGGGGCUGACUAGCUGAGGCUAUACUGUACUAGGGGCUGACUAGCUGAGGCUAUACUGUACUAGGGGCUGACUAGCUGAGGCUAUACUGUACUAGGGGCUGACUAGCUGAGGCUAUACUGUACUAGGGGCUGUCUAGCUGAGGCUAUACUGUACUAGGGGCUGUCUAGCUGAGGCUAUACUGUACUGGGGGCUGUCUAGCUGAGGCUAUACUGUACUAGGGGCUGACUAGCUGAGGCUAUACUGUACUAGGGGCUGACUAGCUGAGGCUAUACUGUACUACCUGCUCCAGAGCACUCAGGACUUCAGAAUGGGGUGAUGGUUCACUUUCC